Molecule: ribosomal RNA, 496 nt
Filed under: uncultured bacterium
Lineage: Bacteria
Description: partial 16S ribosomal RNA
Rfam family: Bacterial small subunit ribosomal RNA
Source: RNAcentral
AUUGAACGCUGGCGGAAUGCUUUACACAUGCAAGUCGAACGGUAGAGGGGGCAACCCCUCGAGAGUGGCGAACGGGUGAGUAAUAUAUCGGAACGUGCCCAGUCGUGGGGGAUAACGUAGCGAAAGUUACGAUAAUACCGCAUACGAUCUAAGGAUGAAAGCGGGGGAUUGCAAGACCUCGCGCGAUUGGAGCGGCCGAUAUCAGAUUAGGUAGUUGGUGGGGUAAAGGCUCACCAAGCCAACGAUCUGUAGCUGGUCUGAGAGGACGACCAUCCACACUGGAAAUUAGACACGGUCCAGACGCCUACGGGAGGCAGCAGUGGGAAAUUUUGGACAAUGGACGCAAGUCUGAUCCAGCCAUUCCGCGUGCAGGAUGAAGGCCCUCGGGUUGUAAACUGCUUUUGUACGGAACGAAAAGGUCUCUCUUAAUACGGGGGACUCAUGACGGUACCGUAAGAAUAAGCACCGGCUAACUACGUGCCAGCAGCCGCCGCCG